This 347-nucleotide ribosomal RNA is filed under the name uncultured bacterium. RNAcentral's name for it is "partial 16S ribosomal RNA". It matches the Rfam family "Bacterial small subunit ribosomal RNA", at positions 338 to 682 of the family's 1533-position model. The record is from RNAcentral.
CCUACGGGUGGCAGCAGUGAGGAAUAUUGGUCAAUGGGCUUACGCCUGAACCAGCCAAGUCGCGUGAGGGAAGACUGCCCUAUGGGUUGUAAACCUCUUUUGUCAGGGAGCAACGCCGGCUACGUGUAGCCGGACGGAGAGUACCUGAAGAAAAAGCAUCGGCUAACUCGGUGCCAGCAGCCGCGGGAAUACGGAGGAUGCGAGCGUUAUCCGGAUUUAUUGGGUUUAAAGGGUGCGUAGGCGGAAUGCCAAGUCAGCGGUAAACUCGCGGGGCUCAACCUCGCUCCGCCGUUGAAACUGGCGUUCUUGCGUGGGCGAGACGUAUGCGGAAUGCGUGGUGUAGCGGU